CUCUGCCUCCUUUUUCCUCUUGCCAGUUGGAGCCAAAUCAUUCAGAUUUCCAGAUUGUGAGGAAUCCUUCAGCCCCCGUGGUAUAGCCACUGACACACUAUCCAGCUGCCACAGUUGUGGGUGUUGAACCCUACCCUUACCCUUAGGCCUUCGGUGGAACCACGUGGAUCUCCCCGGGGCCUCCAGGAGGAGAAACGUGCUCUGUCUCCUUGGCCAGGAAAGGUGAACUCCUAGUAGCAGGCUGUGAGCUGCUUGUCUCACUACGUAGCUAGGAAAUAACAGCAUGAAAGUGCCUCAGAAAGGAACUACCAGUGGCUGUACAGUUACUACACAUCGUUAGUAAUAACGGCACUCCCCUCCCAAGACGACAGCAGAAAGGGAUUCAGCAGCAGAAGGCACAGCUCUUUUGCUUCUGGGUGCCAGCAAACCCUAGGCCCCCCAUGUUGGCUGUUCCAGAAACACAGGAGC
Molecule: long non-coding RNA, 468 nt
Filed under: Homo sapiens (human)
Lineage: Eukaryota; Metazoa; Chordata; Mammalia; Primates; Hominidae
Description: HSALNT0051309
Source: RNAcentral